GUUUAAAUAGUUUAAUUAUAGAAUUAUAAUCUGUGGAGUUAUAGGUGUAAUAUUUUACUUUAAUCC
This 66-nucleotide transfer RNA is filed under the name Brachyplatys subaeneus. RNAcentral describes it as "tRNA-His". The record is from RNAcentral. Lineage: Eukaryota; Metazoa; Arthropoda; Insecta; Hemiptera; Plataspidae.